This 271-nucleotide ribosomal RNA is filed under the name Escherichia coli. Its description in RNAcentral is "partial 16S ribosomal RNA". It matches the Rfam family "Bacterial small subunit ribosomal RNA", at positions 1 to 269 of the family's 1533-position model. The record is from RNAcentral. Lineage: Bacteria; Pseudomonadati; Pseudomonadota; Gammaproteobacteria; Enterobacterales; Enterobacteriaceae. RNAcentral also lists the same sequence under 1 other name.
AAAUUGAAGAGUUUGAUCAUGGCUCAGAUUGAACGCUGGCGGCAGGCCUAACACAUGCAAGUCGAACGGUAACAGGAAGCGCUUGCUGCUUCGCUGACGAGUGGCGGACGGGUGAGUAAUGUCUGGGAAACUGCCUGAUGGAGGGGGAUAGCUACUGGAAACGGUAGCUAAUACCGCAUAACGUCGCAAGACCAAAGAGGGGGACCUUCGGGCCUCUUGCCAUCGGAUGUGCCCAGAUGGGAUUAGCUUGUUGGUGGGGUAACGGCUCACC